CCUACGGGAGGCAGCAGUGGGGAAUUUUGGACAAUGGGCGCAAGCCUGAUCCAGCCAUGCCGCGUGUGGGAAGAAGGCCUUCGGGUUGUAAACCACUUUUGUCAGGGAAGAAACGGCUUUUUCUAAUACAGAGAGCUAAUGACGGUACCUGAAGAAUAAGCACCGGCUAACUACGUGCCAGCAGCCGCGGUAAUACGUAGGGUGCAAGCGUUAAUCGGAAUUACUGGGCGUAAAGCGUGCGCAGGCGGCUUUGCAAGACAGAUGUGAAAUCCCCGGGCUCAACCUGGGAACUGCAUUUGUGACUGCAUGGCUAGAGUACGGUAGAGGGGGAUGGAAUUCCGCGUGUAGCAGUGAAAUGCGUAGAUAUGCGGAGGAACACCGAUGGCGAAGGCAAUCCCCUGGACCUGUACUGACGCUCAUGCACGAAAGCGUGGGGAGCAAACAGGAUUAGAUACCCUGGUAGUCCACGCCCUAAACGAUGUCAACUGGUUGUUGGACGGCUUGCUGUUCAGUAACGAAGCUAACGCGUGAAGUUGACCGCCUGGGGAGUCGGCCGCGAGGUUGAAACUCGAAAUGAAUUGACGGCUGGAGAGNGCGACGGACGACGACGAGGGAGGAGG
RNAcentral lists this ribosomal RNA (620 nucleotides) under uncultured bacterium. RNAcentral's name for it is "bacterial SSU rRNA". It matches the Rfam family "Bacterial small subunit ribosomal RNA", at positions 338 to 954 of the family's 1533-position model. The record is from RNAcentral.